Long non-coding RNA from Sander lucioperca (pikeperch), 289 nucleotides. RefSeq lists it as uncharacterized. The record is from RefSeq and is a predicted model, not a curated record. The transcript has 3 exons. NCBI's taxonomy places the organism in Eukaryota, Metazoa, Chordata, Actinopteri, Perciformes, Percidae.
UUUGACAUUAAUAAACGUCUGUUACAUUCAAGCCAUUGCCAAAUGAGUUGCUACAAAGCUAAGUAAGACUAUCAGCUCCACACAACUCUCUCUGUAUUUCUCAGUAUGGCUAUAUUCACAAGAUUGUGUCAUCCGGUGACUUUCCAGCGCAGAAACUCGAAUGAAGAUAAUUACCUCUUCUGAAGAGUCCAUCAUGUUUUUUUAAUCCUCCGUGUUCUCCAUAGCUGCUAGCAACUGCAUCGAGGAGGGGUGCGGGUGGGGGCGCGAUCACUGAAUGCUGUGUAAUGUG